Homo sapiens (human) is the source of this 6284-nucleotide long non-coding RNA. RefSeq lists it as uncharacterized. The record is from RefSeq and is a predicted model, not a curated record. NCBI's taxonomy places the organism in Eukaryota, Metazoa, Chordata, Mammalia, Primates, Hominidae. The transcript has 7 exons.
AGUGCUGGCGCAAGUCGUCUUGCGCCAGGCGACUGGGUCUGAGGAGGCAGGAGUUAUUCAUUCCCUUAAGCUUUCAGGCCGGGGGGAGAAUCUUUCAGGUGGUAGCUGCAAGAACUCUUAGUAUGUUGACCUCACCUCUGCCUUCCACAUACCACUACCAGUGAGGAAUUAGGAAUGCAUGAGAAGAGUGUCCAAGAAGAGUGUCCUCAUUCAUGCAAGGCUUAAGAGAGAAUGCAGGUCAACAUCACCAUGUCAAUCAGAGGUGCAGAUGCUGAGAGCACUUUCUAGUCAAGUCCUGCAUGUUCAUUUCUGUCUCAAGUCAGCUUCUCUGAGAAUCCAAUUUAUAAAAAUAUAUUUGUGAAUGUAUAAGUAAAGUGACUUGGAUUUUGUCUACGUACAAGGACUUCUAUGCCUGCAUAAAACAGGAAAGAGAUCUUCAUGUAAACAGAGUCCCUCUUAUUGGCUGAAGUGAAGAGUCAUUCUGAGGAGGAUCUGAAAAUGUAGAGGUGAGACGCUAAUGGCAGAGUGGCCUCAGCUUUCACCAGGUUUUGAAAACAUCUGUGAGGGAGGCACCAAAUUCACUGUCCUGCAGCUUUGACUUCCCAAUCCUCGUUGCCUCGUGCUGCCAGCCUGUAUGCUGGUAGAAGUGUGUUCCUGGGAACAUCCUGGCAUCUUGUGUUAGGACUACACUGGUGCAUGGGACAGAUCACGCUCAAGAAGGUCGAUGUAAUUUGAAAAACAGAUGGGCUCUGCUUUGUGAAAACUCCAAGCAUAUGAAGUCUAACUUGAAUAAAAGGCAUCUCAAGAUGAAGGUUUCCUAUUUGUGAUUAUGAAAAAAAUGUCAAGAACAAGUCCCUUGGUGUUCUUAGACCAAAGUCAGAACAACAGACCUACUGUUGUGAAGAGCAAAAGAACUGAGGUCAUAUUCUUUGAGUAUUUGAAAGCUAUGACAUGAUUCAGCAAUAAAGCAGCUCAUAUCAUCAGUGAGUAAGUAUAAUUUCCAUAUUUUUGUAUUUUCACUUUAAUUUUACUCUUUACUGUAGACAAAAAUGUUAGCCAAUAAUCAUGUCUCCGCUAUACUCAUUUAUCAAUUGUAACCAUAGGUUGACUGUGGGGACAAGGGCUGAGAAGGAAAUCAAUGAAAGUAUUAUGUGAGAAUCAAUUAACUCUAUGGAAUUUAUAAUAAAUACUGAAUAUCUUAUUAUUAUUUGCAAAUUGUGUGCAACAUAUCCUUUAUAUCAGUAAAAUUUGUAGCAAACAUCUAUGUGUAUAUAUACAUCCUUUUUUUUUUCCUCGAGAACCAGUUGUUAAACUUACACUAGCAUGCUACCACCUACCUCCACACCUUUCUUCAAAAGAUCUUUAUCCCCUGACUCACUCUCUUUUCUCCAUAUUCCUGAUAAGGCUGUUCUUCCAGAAGCCAGAGGAAAGCCCUUUGUUAUAGUCUUUACAGGUUAGCCUUCCACACCUCUUGGAGAAGAAUGGGAGGGAUCUGGAGGGGCAAACAGAAGAUAUACGACAUAAUUAGCUGUUUUUUAAAAAUUAUUAAUAGAUUUCAGCUGUGCCUGGAAGCACUCAAUCCUCCAGUCACUCUGUGGCUAGAUAUUAUUUCUAAACACAUAUGAAACCUGCUGCAACAACAAAAUCUAUAAAAUACAUGUCUGCUUUUCUUUCUACUGAUGGUCCACAUGGAUAGUAAGAAAUGCAUCCACAGAGGCACUGCCCACGUCUUAAAACAUGAGAGAAAAGGAUAACAGCUAUGAACAGCAUGUUAAGGCUUAGGUUUCUUGGCAUGUCCUGUGAUAGUGUCCUUGUCAUCUAUUUCUGCAUAACAAACCACUUAAAGACUUAAUGACUCAAAACAGUGACAAACAUUUAUCCUGUGCACAAGUCUGUAAUUUGAAUAGGGCUCCGUGGAGAAGACUUGAAUCCACUCCACAUAGCAUUGGUUGUGGGGAUUGACUUAGGGCUGGAGGAUCUAAAUCCUCUAUGCUCACUCCCAUGGCUGGUGAAUUGAUGUUGGCAAUCAGCUAGGAGUCCAGGGGGCUUUGGCUCCUCUUUACGUGGCCUGGGCUUCCUUACAACAUGAUGGUUGGAUUCCAGGGGCAAAUGUUCUAAACUAGCUGAAAGCCAUGUUGCCGUGUAUGACUUAGCUUUAGAAGGCACAUAGCAUUACUUAUGCUGUAUUCUAUUAUUUGAUGCAGACAAAAAGCCCCAUCCAGGUUCAAGCGACUCCACAUCUUAACGGGGGAGUGAGAAGUUCUGGAAGAGCAUGUAGGACAGGAAAUACUAUUGUGACCCUUUUUAGAAAUUAUAAUCUGUCACAGCUAGAAAGGAAGAGAACGCCUCCCAAAACACUGCAUGUCCCUGGUGUCUUGUGUUUUGUGCAAGAAAUCAGCAGGACAUAUUCCACGACUAGUCCAGAAUGACAAGUGGUAAGAAUUGAGAAAUGGGGGUCAACUGAGGUGAAGGGGAAAUAUGUUGUUUUUACUAACAGAAAUGUCUAAAGAGUUAAUGAUACUUCAGGUCAUUUUUCAAUAGACUGUAGGUAUGUGAAACAGUGGAAGUGUUCCAUUAUGAAAAGCUUAAUCGAGAUAGCCAAUGGAAGUAUUGAAAGGUCAUUACCAUAAUACAUUUGCAGAAGAAGCGCUCCAAAUCAUUGUGAAACUCCAUGGCCGCAUACUCCACAAUUACCUGGAGUAGAGAGACAGUCAGGGUGCCCCAUGCCAUCUCCCCCAGAAUGGAAAAAGACAAGUUGCUCACAUGAGAAUCCAAAUGAAGUGUGUCAGAAACAAACAGUACUCACAUUAGGCAGGGAUAAAGUUCUAGCUGCAGAAUGAUUAAAUACUUUUUUUUUUUAAUGGGAAGAGACCUUUUUAAACCUUUUUAAAGGUUGCGUAGAUGCAGAGACUCUGAGAUAAAGGGAUUCUUUUCCAACCAAAGUAUAGGUAGUUUUCUUUGGUUAGUUAAAGAAGCUUAAAUGGACAUGACCCCUAGAAGGGAUCGUUUAUUUUAUGAAAAGCAUCCAGAAUAUACAAUCAGUUAUGUGUGGUUCACACAGUUCUGUUAGCUAAAAAGGGACCAAGGUAAGAUUGUGUGUCUUUUUACAGAUACUAUUUUGACAUAAUUUCUGACUUAGAGAAAAGUUGCAAAAAUGCAGAAAUAAUAUUUACCCAGAUUGCUCAGAUGUUAAAUGUUUAGAAUAUUUGCUUUUUUCCCCUUCCUCCCUCCCUCCCUCCUUCCUUCCUUCCUUCCUUCCUUCCUUCCUUCCUUCCUUCCUUCCUUUUCUUUUGUCUUUUUUUUUUUCUUUUUUUUUGAGACGGAGUCUCACUCUGUUGCCCAGGCUGGAGUGCAGUGACAAGAUCUCAGCUUACUGCAACCUCCAUCUCCCAGGUUCAAGCAAUUCUCUUGCCUCAGCCUACCAAGUAGCUAGGAUUACAGGCACAUGCCACCACAGUUGGCUAAUUUUUGUAUUUUUAGUAGAGACAGGAUUUCACCAUAUUGGCCAGGCUGGUCUCAAACUCCUGACCUCAAGUGAUCUGCCUGCCUCAGACUCCCACUUUAUCUCUUUCUUUCCUUUCUUCUUUCCUUUCUCCUUUCCUUCCCCUUCCCCUUCCAUUUCCCCUUCCCUUCCCUCCUUUCCUUUUUCCUUUCAAGACAGGCUCUUGCUCUGUUUCCCAGGCUGGAGUGCAGUGACAUGAUGAUGACUCACUGCAACCUGGACCUCCUGGGCUCAAGCAGUCCUCCCCACUCAGUCCUAGUAGCUGAGACCAUGGGCGCACACCAUCACACAGGGCUAAUUUUUAAAUUUUUUGUAGACAAGGUAUCACUGUGUUGCCCAGGCUGGUCUCAAACUCCUGGUCUCAAGUGAUCUUCCCGCCUCGACUUCCCAAAGUGCUGAGAUUACAGGCAUGAGCCACCAGGCCUGGCCUCUUUCUCUUUAAUCUAUCUCUAUCUGUAUCUCUGUCUCUGUCUCUACCUCUAUCUCUCUCUCUACCUCUGGCUCUUUCUCUAUAUCAUAAACAUAUAGUCUGCAUCUAUGUCUAUAUGUCUAGGAAGAGAAAUAUACAUACAGAUAGAUAUGUGUUUGCAUCAGAUAUAAGUGAUGAUUUUUCAGAACCAUUUAAGAGUAAGUUGCAGACAGGAUGUCCCUUUAUCCCUAAAUACAAUGUUUAUUUACUAAAAACAAAUUCUCAAAUUUUCUUACAUAAUGAAAACACAAGUAUCAUAACUAGAAAAUUAAAAUUAAUAUAAUGUUACUAUCUAAUAUAAAGACUUCAUUCAAAUUUUUCUAUUUUUCCCAAUAAUGUUCUUUAUAGUAAAAUAAAAUUUAAGACCAUGUGUUUUUUAUAGUAAAAUGAAAUCUAAGAUCAAACAUAAAACUGAUGUCUUGAUAAACUCAGUUCUGUUACUGUACCUGAAAAAUGGGUCGAUAGACAUAUAAACUCUUAGUUAUAUUUGCAAAGUCACAGAGAACCCAUUUUAAAAUGGCCUUCCCUGGGCAUGUUAGGCUGAAACCUACAACUCUUUUUGUUGGGCCAGGCAGAGAAGAAUUUCUUGUUGGGAUUCCUAGAAGACUGGCACUACACUUAGUGUACAGGCAAUACUUGUUAAAUGUUUAUUUAACACUGAAUAAGUAUUAACAUUGUAACAUUAAGCAUUAUAUGUUUAAUGUAAUUAAUAUAAUGUAAUUAGUUAUGUAAUAUAAUUAAUGUAACCUAAUGUAAUAUAAUUAUAUGUAAAUAGUAUAACAUUAAACAACCAAACCUAGAAAAAAACUCAGAUUUAAAAGUAGUUUCUGUAUCACCUAAGAAUAAAAAUAUUUUAAACCUAAGUCAUCCGGGGCUUGAAUUUUCUAAUUGAAAAUUAGAGGCUUAGGAGGAUGUUAAAAAAAUCUUUAUAUUACUUGGGUAUCAUUGGGUGAACUGUGAUGUUAUUUAUAAUAGUUGUCACAAUCACCUUUGAAAUUCUAGCAACUCUGACACAUUGAGGAGAAUAAACAGAUUUUUCUCCUUAUCAAAACUAGUCCUUUUACUAGAAUCUAAAGCUGUCCUUCGGAUUCAGACUGAGGACACUGUGACUACUGAGGCAAGGAUGUGAAUGCCAGGGGUGUGUGUAGAAGGUGAGCCCAGGAAGCACUGGUAGGAGAGUCAAGAUGUGAGACAGGAAAAGGUAGAAACAAAUAAAGAGUGAAUUAUCUAGUAAGUCAUGACUGUGGAAAACUGGGGCUCACCCCCACUGGGCGACUCAUGGAAAGAGUGAAGAACAGAGUUCUAUGGAGUUAUUCCAACAGAGAGUCCAGGAAGCUAGUGUAUUUAUGUACCCAAUCCCACCGGUUGCUGGUGAAAGCCUGCUGCCAACAAUACUAAGGCCCCAGCAUAUCCAGUCUGCCUCAUGUGAGGGGCUAAUGGUCUCUGGCAGCCUGCAAAAUCCCUCUUGCAAGGGCUCCCAGAGGCUUAUAGCUGGAACCUGCCAUGUCAGGCUGCACGGGCAUGAUGCUUGCCUAGGGAUAGAGAUGGAGCACCUUCAGCUUCUACGUUUUCCAUUCCUGCCAUUUGGAACCAGGUUUAAUGGAAUUAGAGAAGCAUUUGAAAAAUUAGAUAUUUGUUGUUUAAGAAAAUAUGAUCAAUGAAGAGUCAAACUACUUCUUCUUCUUCUUCUUUUUUAAUGAAAUGAACAGGUAAAAGUCCUUCUAUGGCUUAGCCAUCCCAGACUCCAGUAGAAAUGGGUAUGAAGAUAAUUGCAUUAUAGCUAACGAGUAGUGGAAAGAGUGAAGCUAACACCAAUCGCUUGAGGGAACAAGUAAAUUAAAUGCUGAUGACCUUGACCAGGCAGCAAACUACAUUCAUUGAUUAUUUUAAUUUUCUCUCUUCUACACUCAGUUAAACAUCCAUAGCAGUGGAUUUCAAGGUAACUAAAAGGUUGUUUAGCAUACUUUUAAAAGAGUCAGGAAUAGCAGAACAAAAAGGCCCCUAUCAAACAAACAAAAAAAUACCUCAUCUGAUGUGUGUCCUCUAUAUGUGGGUGUACAUGAGUGAUUAUUUGCCUCUAUGUAUCUGCUCCUCAGAAGGGAUGCAUAUGUGUUUCAACAGAAAGGAAGAAAAAGAGAAAAUUGACAGGUAGAACAUUUGAAUAAAAAAGGGAGGAAUGUCCUAUCCUGGGUAAUUCUGUUAUGUGCAGCAUUUUAAAACUGUGAUAUUAUGUGGUAGAAGGAAAUAAAAACUUGAGGGGAGGAUAAUAAAAUGAAAGUGAGAAGGUGAAUUUUUGUAGUUCUGGCUUCUUAG